GGAAUCUUCCACAAUGGACGAAAGUCUGAUGGAGCAACGCCGCGUGAGUGAAGAAGGGUUUCGGCUCGUAAAACUCUGUUGUUAAAGAAGAACAUAUCUGAGAGUAACUGUUCAGGUAUUGACGGUAUUUAACCAGAAAGCCACGGCUAACUACGUGUCAG
RNAcentral lists this ribosomal RNA (161 nucleotides) under uncultured bacterium. RNAcentral's name for it is "partial 16S ribosomal RNA". It matches the Rfam family "Bacterial small subunit ribosomal RNA", at positions 358 to 511 of the family's 1533-position model. The record is from RNAcentral.